CAGCAGCAACUUACUGCUCGUGCACAUGUGAAGUACAAGAAGACUGAGCGUGAUUCAAGGCCUCGAUAUACUCACGGCAAAGAUCUUUUUUGUUCUUCUCUAAGGGCUAAAAAGAAGUGUGUAAUACCUUGAUUUGCAGUGAUAUACUGUUAACGAACAUCCGGGCGCUGUUGAGAGCGACGGUUAGAUGAAUAUGUAAAUGUGUGCUGCGCGCGCUUUCCUCUCAAUAACAAAAUAAACACACAACAAAAAUGACAUCUGUGAGAAAACAGGCAUCUGAUCGUAGCGAUGUGGAUCUGUUUGCACCGGCAUCAUAACGACGGAUGAGGUGUCCAGUUCUUAAUUAGCUGACGGUGCAAAAGUGGAAACCUCAUCAACAUUGAGGGUCUAGAAAACAGAUGGGAAGCUCAUUCGCAUGACGUAACAACUCAGUCCUCGGUCAGAGCAGAUGUGCCAACAACCAAAAUGAUGGGGGAAAAUCAUGUCAUUGAGGACAAAGCUGAGAGCGGAUGGAGAGCAGUUGCCAUGGUGAUGUGAUAGCCACACCUGGUGAUGCUGAUGCUGUGUGUGUGUGUGUGUGUGUGUGUGUGAGACAGACAGACAGAGAUCCACAGGGUUUUGAGCUCAUGCUGCAUAGACCGUGUUCAAGGUGAUCAGCGCGAUUUCACCAGGCCUCAUUUGUCUGAGCAGACGGUUCCUCCUCACCUCUGUCCCAGGAUCAAAACACACAUAAUUGUCACAAGAUUUGCACUAAUUAAAUAUUCAGUUUCUUAAAGUCGCCUAAGUAGUGAAAAUCUUCUCUCAUGAGUCCUGAUGAGUUCGGCUCAUUAAUUAGAGAUUAUAUGCAUUAUGCAUCAUAUGACGGCACAUUUUCUGACUGUCCACAGUCUGAACGCUGACCGGCUGCUGCAUAUUGUGGAAUCAUCAGUUUCAAAACUGGGAAGCACCGAAGUUACUUAAAAAAGUACCAAAUUGAAAGAAUCGUCACGUUUGAGGAAGAACUACUAUAAUCGCUAGAUUUGCUUUUUUUUUUUCCAGUUUUGUGGUGUCAGAUCUUUGAGAAAUAUUCAGAAUAGUUUGAGGCACAAAUAGCAAGUUAGCAAAAUCCAUUGAUUUUAUAUUCCGCUUUGUUUUUGAAUUGUAUCUGUGAAUAUUAAUAUUAAUUUUGGACUGAUUACAGUUUUGAUUAUCUUUUGUAUGUGUGUGUGUGUGUGUGAUUGUGUUAUUUUAAUAUUUUUUAAUAUAUUGAAUUAGAUAUUUUUAUAUUUUCAGUUUUCAUUUUAAUUUUUGUGAAGUUUUAGUAAUUUUGAUGUGUUUUUUUUCUUUUGGUAUUAUUAUUUUUUAAGAUGUCUAUAUAGUUUAGAGUUUAUUUACUUUUGGCUAUUUUAUAGUUUAGUACUUUUCACAUAAACUAAAAUGAAAAUGAGAA
Molecule: long non-coding RNA, 1429 nt
Organism: Ctenopharyngodon idella (grass carp)
Lineage: Eukaryota; Metazoa; Chordata; Actinopteri; Cypriniformes; Xenocyprididae
Exons: 3
Source: RefSeq, a predicted model, not a curated record